RNAcentral lists this transfer RNA (77 nucleotides) under Cellulomonas sp. Leaf334. RNAcentral describes it as "tRNA-Leu". It matches the Rfam family "tRNA". From Rfam's summary of the family: Transfer RNA (tRNA) molecules are approximately 80 nucleotides in length. Their secondary structure includes four short double-helical elements and three loops (D, anti-codon, and T loops). The record is from RNAcentral. Lineage: Bacteria; Bacillati; Actinomycetota; Actinomycetes; Micrococcales; Cellulomonadaceae.
GCCCCCGUAGCCCAACUGGCAGAGGCAGCCGGCUUAAACCCGGCACAGUCCGGGUUCGAACCCCGGCGGGGGCACGA